This 1843-nucleotide non-coding RNA is filed under the name Wolbachia endosymbiont of Armadillidium vulgare str. wVulC. Lineage: Bacteria; Pseudomonadati; Pseudomonadota; Alphaproteobacteria; Rickettsiales; Anaplasmataceae. The record is from RNAcentral.
GUGUGCCGUAGAGACACAAGGAAUGUUCAGGAAAGAGCAAACUAAGUGCGAAAGCUGCACAAUAGAUGAGGGUGGACCCCUCGGAGCCGGUUUACAAGAGCAGGCUUCAAACAACCAUAAGCUGCUUUGGUAAGGUAGUGAGCGUUAUGGAAAAGGCGUAAUUAUGCGUCAUGUGUGAAAUAGAGAGAUGAACGCAAGUGAACCACUGAUUACACGUCGAAAGGUAAUGCGAUGAUGUCAAAACCAGGGGAGAAAAAGUAACUUGGGAUAAGCCUAUCGGGAACUUGUCUACUGGGUAGGUGGCAUCCGGCAUAUAGGUGGCAUGAACCUGUUUCAGGCUAUUGUGUGGAACUACGGGAACCUGUCGUUUCGAUGAUAAGGGAGAAGUCCAAGGAGCUGAACUCUAAGGAAGAGAGUACUGAUGCGAAAAACAGGGGCGGAUUAGCUUGUAGUAGUGAAGAAGUUUUUGUAAUGGAAAUGGAGCGAAGGGAUUUAGUUUUAAUUAUUUAUCAACCGAAAGGGAAGAGUUAAUGAAUAAAACAAAAUCUUUUGACAUAUCAAAGCAACUGAUUUGGAAAGCUUAUAAACAAGUAUCCAAAAACAGAGGUGCGGCAGGUGUAGAUGAGGUCUCGAUAACAAAGUUUGAAGAAAAUCUAAAAGAUAAUCUAUACAAACUGUGGAAUCGGAUGUCAUCCGGAACCAGAAUCAGUAAAAGCUGUUGCGAUACCAAAAGAUACAGGAGGACAAAGAACUUUAUGUGUUCCUUCAGUAUUCGACAGGAUAGGGCAAACAGCAGCUACUAUGUAUCUCGAACCGUUAGUAGAGCCGGAAUUUCACGAAGAUUCAUAUGGUUAUAGACCAAACAAGUCUGCACUGGAUGCGGUAAGUACAGCGUGUAAGAGAUGUUGGAGAAGUGAUUGGACGAUAGAUCUUGAUAUUUCUGGAUUUUUCGACAAUCUGGAUCAUGUGUUAGCACUGCAAACUAUCAAGAAGCAUACAGAUUGCAAGUGGGUCAUACUGUACGUGGAAAGGUGGAUGAAAGCCCCGAUUCAACUAGCAGAUGGCAGUAAGGUAGUUAGGAAUAAGGGAGUUCCACAAGGAGGUUCUGUAAGCCCAAUCAUUUCUAACAUAUUUAUGCAUCAUGCAUUUGAUAUGUGGAUGAGGCAAAACUACCCAACAAUACCGUUUGAGAGAUAUGUAGAUGAUGCAAUGGUGCACUGUAAAACCCAGAAACAGGCAAAAUUUAUAAAAGACAAGAUCGAAGAAAGAUUGGCUGAGUUUAAGCUAAAAUUACAUCCUGAAAAGACACAAAUAGUGUACUGUAAGGAUGACAAUAGGAGAGAUGAGUUUCCAAUACAGAGCUUUGACUUUCUGGGUUACACGUUCAGACCUAGACUGGCAAAGAACAAUAAAAUAGGAAACUAUUUUGUCUCAUUUCUACCUGCAAUUAGCAACAAAGCCAAGAAGAAGAUCAACCAAACCAUAAGGUCAUGGAAAAUACGUAGGCAAACAUAUACAACACUAGAGAAAAUAUCAAAGAGAAUAAAUCCUAUAGUCCGAGGCUGGCUAUGGCAGGUUUUAUAAAUCAGAGAUGUAUCCAUCUCUCAGAAAUGUAGAGUGGCACCUAGUAGGAUGGGUCAGAGCCAAAUAUAAGAAACUUCGAAAUCAUGGAAGACUAGCAAAGUAAUUUCUAGCAAAAGUGAGAAAGAGGUCUCCAAAUAUUUUCUAUCACUGGACACUAGGAUUGGGAUCAAAAGGCUGAAUAACGGGAGCUGUAUAAAUUGAGAGGUUUACGUACAGUUCUGCGAGAGACUGGUGGGGAAGCUCCGCCGGUCUACUCUCC